CAGGACGAACGCUGGCGGCGUGCCUAAUACAUGCAAGUCGAACGAACUCUGGUAUUGAUUGGUGCUUGCAUCAUGAUUUACAUUUGAGUGAGUGGCGAACUGGUGAGUAACACGUGGGAAACCUGCCCAGAAGCGGGGGAUAACACCUGGAAACAGAUGCUAAUACCGCAUAACAACUUGGACCGCAUGGUCCGAGUUUGAAAGAUGGCUUCGGCUAUCACUUUUGGAUGGUCCCGCGGCGUAUUAGCUAGAUGGUGNGGUAACGGCUCACCAUGGCAAUGAUACGUAGCCGACCUGAGAGGGUAAUCGGCCACAUUGGGACUGAGACACGGCCCAAACUCCUACGGGAGGCAGCAGUAGGGAAUCUUCCACAAUGGACGAAAGUCUGAUGGAGCAACGCCGCGUGAGUGAAGAAGGGUUUCGGCUCGUAAAACUCUGUUGUUAAAGAAGAACAUAUCUGAGAGUAACUGUUCNGGUAUUGACGGUAUUUAACCAGAAAGCCACGGCUAACUACG
Molecule: ribosomal RNA, 515 nt
Filed under: Lactiplantibacillus plantarum
Lineage: Bacteria; Bacillati; Bacillota; Bacilli; Lactobacillales; Lactobacillaceae
Description: bacterial SSU rRNA
Rfam family: Bacterial small subunit ribosomal RNA
Source: RNAcentral